Equus caballus (horse) is the source of this 1659-nucleotide long non-coding RNA. The record is from Ensembl. NCBI's taxonomy places the organism in Eukaryota, Metazoa, Chordata, Mammalia, Perissodactyla, Equidae.
CUCUAUUUCUUUUACUUGUUUAUUCUUAAAUGAAAUUCUUUAUUGCUGUAUAAAUGGAAACACUAAUACGCUUAUAAAUAGAAGGUAUCCCUAAGAAUAUGCAAAAUGAAAAGAAGAUACUGUGAUUAAGUUCCUCCUGUAUACUGUUGUUGUUCUUUGCUCAAAACUCUGACCCUGAGGUGCACCCUCCCUAGGUUACAAAUGGAGAUUAGCAAGGGUUGGAGAGGUGUUACAGACACACUAGCACCUAGCGGAGUUGUUCUUCAUGUCGCAACAGAAGGUUGGGUCAAAAUAACAACGGAAGAGCUUUCUUAGCGUGAGAGUCAGUGCAGGUAAGUGCCAUGACAUGAAGUCAUCACGCGCACUUUGACAAACAGACGUGCCGGGAGAGCACAGACUGGAGAUGCUGACUGCUACUGGACAGCUGCACAACUCUGCACAAGCGACUUCUUCUUUUAGAUCUUCAGUCUCUUCAUCUGUAUCCUGGGAAGAAUAAUGUCGUUAUAACUGAGUGAGUAGCUGUGUAAGAGAGGAGGAAAUGGUGUAGUGUGUGAGAACCUGAGACAGUGACUGGAAUAUAGUAAGCACUCAAGGCACGGUGGAUAAACACGCCUAUUUUGUCGCAGCUUCCUGGACAAUGGAGUAAAAGCAGCCUUACAGAAUGUGCAGGUGACAUCAAGUUGGGCACAAUUACCAACACCUCUGAAACAAGAAUAGAAUAUUAAGGGACACUAAAAACUUAGUCCCCCACAUGCAUCUCAGUUCUAAGGAGGAGAAAGGGAAAAAACCACCCUAUAAAGUGCCUGUGUUACCUGCCGCCACUUGCCGUCACCUGAAUGUCCCAAGAACACGCUCUCAACCCACAGCAUCUGUGCCCUCCAGCCUGAUCCUCUCACCUUUCCCAGCUCAGUGAGCAGUAUCGUCAUCUACCCCGAGGAGCAAGCCAGAACCUCACGGGCAUCUUAGAGUCCACCCUGCCCCUCAGCCCCAUGUGCAAGUCAGCGUGGAGCCAUGUCAGUUUUACCUCCCAGGUGUCUCUUCAGUCCAUCCACUUCUCUCUGCUUUCGCCGCCCUAGUCCAGCUACCGUCAUCGUGGCAGGUGUAGCACACAGUGGGCAGAGAUGAGAAGGACCAUCUACAUGAAGAGAAGAGCGUGAGCAAAAACAACCGGGAGAAUGAUGCUGAGCUCCUUCUCGAAGACAGCUCGUAGCUUCCUCCUCCCUUCUUUAUACACAGUGUACCUUGCUGAACAAGCUGUUCUUUACCUCACUUUUAUCACUUAAGAGAGCUUUGAAAUAUUUCCAUAAAGAGCAUCCCCAUUCCUUUUGACCAAUGAGUAGAAUCUCAUGGUGUGUGAAUAUCAUAAUUUGUCACUCUUGUUUUUUUUUUUUAAUCAUUCCUCUACUGAUGAUUACUUCCAAUCUUUUGCUAAUAUAAACAGUGCUGCAUUAAAUAAGUUUCUAUUUUUGUCAUUUCCCAUACGUUAGAGACUAUCGGGAGGAAAAUUCCUGGCAAAAUUGCUGAGUCAAAGGAUACACGUUUGAGAUUCUCUUAGAGGUUGAAACUUUGCCCCCUGUUGCUCUUGUCCCCGUAUGUCGUUAUUCUACCAGCUGACUCCUCACAAUAGAAGUGUUAUCAAACUUUUUGAUUUUUCCCAAC